This 428-nucleotide ribosomal RNA is filed under the name uncultured bacterium. RNAcentral's name for it is "partial 16S ribosomal RNA". It matches the Rfam family "Bacterial small subunit ribosomal RNA", at positions 354 to 796 of the family's 1533-position model. The record is from RNAcentral.
GUGGGGAAUAUUGGGCAAUGGGGGAAACCCUGACCCAGCAACGCCGCGUGAGGGAAGAAGGUUUUCGGAUUGUAAACCUCUGUCCUUGGUGACGAAGGAAGUGACGGUAACCAAGGAGGAAGCCCCGGCUAACUACGUGCCAGCAGCCGCGGUAAUACGUAGGGGGCAAGCGUUGUCCGGAAUGACUGGGCGUAAAGGGCGUGUAGGCGGCCGAUUAAGUCUGGAGUGAAAGUCCUGCUUUCAAGGUGGGAAUUGCUUUGGAGACUGGUGGGCUGGAGUGCGGAAGAGGUAAGUGGAAUUCCCAGUGUAGCGGUGAAAUGCGUAGAGAUUGGGAGGAACACCAGUGGCGAAGGCGACUCACUGGCCCAAUACUGACGCUGAGGCGCGAAAGCGUGGGGAGCAAACAGGAUUAGAUACCCCUGUAGUCC